Molecule: ribosomal RNA, 253 nt
Filed under: uncultured bacterium
Lineage: Bacteria
Description: partial 16S ribosomal RNA
Rfam family: Bacterial small subunit ribosomal RNA
Source: RNAcentral
GACGAACCGUGCGAACGUUGUUCGGAAUCACUGGGCUUAAAGGGCGCGUAGGCGGGCUGUCAAGUCUGGGGUGAAAUCCCGCGGCUCAACCGCGGAACUGCCUCAGAUACUGACGGCCUCGAGGGGGGUAGGGGCAUGCGGAACUGUAGGUGGAGCGGUGAAAUGCGUUGAUAUCUACAGGAACUCCGGUGGCGAAAGCGGCGUGCUGGACCUCUUCUGACGCUGAGGCGCGAAAGCUAGGGGAGCAAACGGG